This 554-nucleotide ribosomal RNA is filed under the name uncultured bacterium. RNAcentral describes it as "partial 16S ribosomal RNA". It matches the Rfam family "Bacterial small subunit ribosomal RNA", at positions 355 to 900 of the family's 1533-position model. The record is from RNAcentral.
UAGGGAAUCUUCCACAAUGGACGCAAGUCUGAUGGAGCAACGCCGCGUGAGUGAGGAAGGCUUUCGGGUCGUAAAACUCUGUUAUUGAAGAAGAACGUGUGUGACAGUAACUGGUCAUGCAGUGACGGUAUUCAAUCAGAAAGUCACGGCUAACUACGUGCCAGCAGCCGCGGUAAUACGUAGGUGGCAAGCGUUGUCCGGAUUUAUUGGGCGUAAAGCGAGUGCAGGCGGUCUUUUAAGUCUGAUGUGAAAGCCUUCGGCUUAACCGAAGAAGGGCAUCGGAAACUGGGAGACUUGAGUGCAGAAGAGGAGAGUGGAACUCCAUGUGUAGCGGUGAAAUGCGUAGAUAUAUGGAAGAACACCAGUGGCGAAGGCGGCUCUCUGGUCUGUAACUGACGCUGAGGCUCGAAAGCGUGGGUAGCAAACAGGAUUAGAUACCUUGGUAGUCCACGCCGUAAACGAUGAAUACUAAGUGUUGGAGGGUUUCCGCCCUUCAGUGCUGCAGCUAACGCAUUAAGUAUUCCGCCUGGGGAAUACGACCGCAAGGUUGAAAC